GGGACCGCACAAGCAGCGAGCAUGUGGUUUAAGUUCGAAGCAACGACGAAGAACCUUACCAGGGCUUGACAUGCCGCUGACCGGUUUAGAGAUAGAUCUUUACCUUCGGGGUACAGCGGACACAGGUGGUGCAUGGUUGUCGUCAGCUCGUGUCGUGGGAUGUUGGGUUAAGUCCCGCAACGAGCGCAACCCCUAUUGUUAGUUGCCAUCAUUCAGUUGGGCACUCUAGCGAGACUGCCGGUAAUAAACCGGAGGAAGGUGGGGAUGACGUCAAAUCAUCAUGCCCCUUAUGACCUGGGCUACACACGUGCUACAAUGGUUGGUACAACGAGUUGCGAGUCGGUGACGGCGAGCUAAUCUCUUAAAGCCAAUCUCAGUUCGGAUUGUAGGCUGCAACUCGCCUACAUGAAGUCGGAAUCGCUAGUAAUCGCGGAUCAGCACGCCGCGGUGAAUACGUUCCCGGGCCUU
This 468-nucleotide ribosomal RNA is filed under the name uncultured Streptococcus sp. Its description in RNAcentral is "bacterial SSU rRNA". It matches the Rfam family "Bacterial small subunit ribosomal RNA", at positions 917 to 1382 of the family's 1533-position model. The record is from RNAcentral. Lineage: Bacteria; Bacillati; Bacillota; Bacilli; Lactobacillales; Streptococcaceae.